Molecule: non-coding RNA, 382 nt
Organism: Arachis ipaensis
Lineage: Eukaryota; Viridiplantae; Streptophyta; Magnoliopsida; Fabales; Fabaceae
Source: RefSeq, a predicted model, not a curated record
GAGCGCGACCCACUGCGCGGAGCUGCGCCGCCGUGUGCUGUUGUCGUCUCCUCAGACUGCUGCCGCCGUCGAGCUUCGAGGAGAGAGAAGGAGCUUGCGGAGAAGGUGAGGCGCGAUGGUGGUGGGUUGUUCCGCCACCCCUACUGCCGUCGCCGUCAAAAACUGCUGCCAUGGCCGCCGCCCUCCUAGCUGCCGCAGUGGUUGUGGUCCACUGUGUAUGGUCGCCAGAGAAAUCGUUGUGGCCGCUGAAACCACCGCCGCCGCGGUUGUCAGGGUUUUUCAUCGCCGCUGCUGCUUAAGGUGGCUGCCGGGGCCGCUGCCAAACUGGUUUAGAGCCCGCCGCUAUUUCGUUUCGCUAAUUCAGUAAAGACGCGGAAGUGAC